UUCUUCCAGCUCUUUUCAGUGGGUAGCUGGUCUUCGGGGCUGUCACGGCUGUCCCCUAACCCUAUUGUUUCUGCCUUGGCGGGACAUUUGUUCUGCUUAGCUGCAGGGGUAUUGCCCUCAUUUUACGGGUUGGAAAACUGAGGGUGGAUGAAGACUAUAUAGCUAGUAGUGUAGUCGGAACUCAGUACAAUCGAAACUAAAUCUGAUUGUUGUCUCAAACGUGAUGUCCACGUCGUGUGAUGGACAUGAGGCCAGGCAGUAUUUUCAGAUUAAAUAUCUAUUGAGAGAAUGAGUGAAAGAGCUAGCCAUCGCUAGCCUCCACCUGGUACCUGAUGAGAAGAUGACCCGUGGCUCCUAUUCAUGGCAGAGGAGAUUAGCAUCUCAAAGGGCCAGAAGGCAUGGGCUGGAGCUCUCUCAGCUUCUGCGAUUGGCUUCAAAAAUCUCUUCCUAUCAUUUUGGACUAAUGGCAUUUGUCAUCCAGUGAAGGUUAGUGAAACCAAUGUUUGAUAACCACCUCCUCCACCCUGACCCUUUGUGGAUGUGCCAAGAGGCAGCUGCAAAACCGGAUUCACAACAGAGGCCGUCAAGGAAAACACGAAAGAGAUUGUGGAGAUAGCAUAAAAGAUGGGGCCUGAAUGGUUGCAAGAUGUGGAUCUUGAAUUCAAGCGCUAAUGGACACCAGCCCCACCAGAGGAAUGAACGGAAGAUGGCUUGAUGGAGAUGAGUGCCCUGCCAGUGCCAGUGAUGAGGAAGAAGAUGAAGAAGCAGAGGCGGAAAACAAUUUGACAGUAGACAGUCCGGCAGAAGGAUGCUGACUCUUCAGGCCUGCUUUUGAUUUCUUUUACGAUAACAGGUUUUGGAACUAAAGCGGAUAGUGGAAGAUGGACUGGUACCCUAUGGAAAACAUUAGUUACACCAAGCAUGCCUGCCUCCCCUUCCACCUCCUUCUCCUCUUCCUCCUCUGUCACCCCCGAGUCAGCAAGACCAUCCCCUCCCCUUCCUCCUGAGCCUCCUCAGCAUGAAGACGAGGAGGAUGAAGACCUUAAUGACGAACCACUUCCACUUAAUGAACAGUAAAUAGUCAUCAGGCCUUGCAGUUAAGAAACUUAUCUGUUGUGUAUAUUACAUCACUGGGUGACAAUCUAAGACAUUCUUGUCUCAUCAUCAUCAUCACUAAGUAUUCAUUGUGUAGGACAUCAUGUGCAAGAGUCGUAGUGAGGAGUUGUUGUGGCCCAGCAGGUUGAGAACCCAACAUUAGUGUCCGUGAGGAUGUGGAUUUGAUCCUUGGCCUCACUUAGUGGGUUAAGGAUCUGCAAGCUGCAGCACAGGUCUCAGGUGUAGCUUGGAUCCAGUGUGGCUGUGGCUGUGGCAGAGGCCCGCAGCUGCAGCUCUGAUUCGACCCCUAGCCCGGGAACUUCCAUAUGUUGUAGGUUCAGCCUAAAAAAAAAUAAAGUAAGGCAAAGACGUGUAUUUAAGUGGAUGGCCUAUCUUAUCCUUACAUAGGCAUAAGGCAAGAGCUAUUUAAUAUAAAAUUAAUAAUGUUAGUUUUCUUACCGUUUUAUUGUUUUUUAAUUUUUUUGUCUUUUUAGGGCCACACCCGUGGCAUAUGGAGGGUCCCAGGCUAGGGGUCUAAUCCGAGCCGCAUCUGCGACCUACACCACAGCUCACGGCAACGUGGGAUCGUUAACCUCCUGAGCGAGGCCAGGGAUCCAACCCGAAACCUCGUGGUUCCUAGUUGGAUUCAUUUCUCCUGCGCCACGACAGGAACUCCUUCUUACUGUUUUAUAAUUUGGCUUUCAAAGAAUUAUAUUACCGUACGGAAUCUCUCUCUCUCAUAAUUGGGGAAACUGUAUCAGCCUAUCAUUACAGGUAAGUGGUUUUUAAAAAAUGUAACAAUGUUUCCAAUGCUGUAUUAUGACUAUGACUGUAAUACUGUAUGCCAUAAAAAUUUUAUAACAAUUCAUUUAUUAAUGUAUUGGCUAGGCUACUGUGAAGCUAUUGUACACUAGGCCACCAUAAAGCAAUCACAUUGCUGCUUCUUCAUUAACAAUGCAUGAAUCGUUAUACCUGUAAAUAACUGAAUUUCCUUUUCAUAUUAUCUUUUAUUUUUAUCUUUUAUUUUUAAAGUCUACUGUUAGUAAUACAUAUAACAUAUAGAGUUUUGUAUUAUAUAUGACAAUUUGAUGUAAGUACUGACAGACAAUUCAUCUUGUGAACAGACAACAUAAACUUACAGUAUUG
RNAcentral lists this long non-coding RNA (2241 nucleotides) under Sus scrofa (pig). RNAcentral describes it as "lncRNA (ENSSSCG00000045287.2)". Lineage: Eukaryota; Metazoa; Chordata; Mammalia; Artiodactyla; Suidae. The record is from RNAcentral.